AUGACCGCGCCGCUUCUAACCCGACAGCGGAAGUGCCGGGACCCUAUAAACGGCACAAGGAAGCGCGACACGCACACGCCGCCGCGACGCCACGCUGCCAUCUAGGGCCCGCCGCUCCUUGUACGGGCACAAGAGGUGGGGCCUUCGCCGUGACGUCGCGGCCGAGGCGGGGCACCGAUAGGGGGACCUAGGGCCAAGGGCGGGGCCUAUGCAAAUCGCUGAGCUGAAACAUAAAUAGAGCACUCCGCGGACACGGGGGUAGCGGGGGCGGUGGGGUUGGGUGCCCGAUGGGCUGUGAGAAUGUCAGGCUGCUGUGACGCGGGGGGCGGGGCUCAGGCGGGGUUCCCGGGGGAGGGGGCGGGCUGCCAGGCAUGGCCUAGGGUGCAUGGGUCUCCGCGCCCCCUGCCUGCUCAACUUCCCCCUCCAAUUCCCUGCUUCCCUUUGAUGUCCCGCAAGUGAGGACGCGCCUCGUGGGUCGCUGCGGGGAGGAAAGAGUAGAUGGGAGACCAAGGCGGAGAAGAGCACCAGCUCCGCUGCUCCUCUUGUCUGCAGCACGCUCAACCCCGAGCGAGUCUCAGCUUCCGCUCAGUCUCGGCUUCCAAGCUUGCCAAAGUGUCCGAAAACGCGCAGAGCGCUCGGAACCUGUCCCGCAGCUGUGCGACGCGCGUCUCGAGCUGGCCGCAGCCGCCCCGCCCUCGCGCGCCUCAGCCCCGCGGGCGGGGAUGCCGGCUCCACGGCCUCUCUACCGGGACCCCGCUCCAGGCCCGGGCGUGCUCCGGCUCGAGGUGGAAGGCACACCCGGGUAGUGGAUUUAGCAAACACACCUUUAUCUGUUCCUUAGAAAGGUGGAGCAGUCAUGCAAGAAUACUAAUGGAAGAAAGGAAGGAAGGGAGAGAAGGAGGAAGGAAUGGAGGAAAGAAGAGAAAGGAAGAUACAUCAGUGUAUGCUUCCCACGGGUCCCCUCCUCUAGUAUUCAUUUUCUCUUUCCAGCCUAGACCCUUCUGCUCUUAG
Molecule: long non-coding RNA, 1011 nt
Filed under: Capra hircus (goat)
Lineage: Eukaryota; Metazoa; Chordata; Mammalia; Artiodactyla; Bovidae
Description: lncRNA (ENSCHIG00010014069.1)
Source: RNAcentral